AAAAGUUGGGGAUCGAAAGACCUUGCGCUUUGGGAGCGGCCGAUGUCUGAUUAGCUAGUUGGUGGGGUAAAGGCCUACCAAGGCGACGAUCAGUAGUUGGUCUGAGAGGACGACCAGCCACACUGGGACUGAGACACGGCCCAGACUCCUACGGGAGGCAGCAGUGGGGAAUUUUGGACAAUGGGCGCAAGCCUGAUCCAGCAAUGCCGCGUGAGUGAAGAAGGCCUUCGGGUUGUAAAGCUCUUUCAGUCGAGAAGAAAAAGCUGCAGUGAAUAACUGUAGUUCAUGACGGUAUCGACAGAAGAAGCACCGGCUAACUACGUGCCAGCAGCCGCGGUAAUACGUAGGGUGCGAGCGUUAAUCGGAAUUACUGGGCGUAAAGGGUGCGCAGGCGGCUUUGUAAGUCAGAUGUGAAAUCCCCGGGCUUAACCUGGGAAUUGCGUUUGAAACUACAAAGCUAGA
RNAcentral lists this ribosomal RNA (462 nucleotides) under uncultured Nitrosomonas sp. Its description in RNAcentral is "bacterial SSU rRNA". It matches the Rfam family "Bacterial small subunit ribosomal RNA", at positions 188 to 645 of the family's 1533-position model. Lineage: Bacteria; Pseudomonadati; Pseudomonadota; Betaproteobacteria; Nitrosomonadales; Nitrosomonadaceae. The record is from RNAcentral.